GUUUGAUCCUGGCUCAGGACGAACGCUGGCGGCGUGCCUAACACAUGCAAGUCGAACGAAGUUUGUUGCUUCGCCAAGCAUUAAAGUACCACCUCAAGCGCAUUUGCGCAUGAAAAGAAAAUUUUGGUGUUUGGUGAAGAGACAAACUUAGUGGCGGACGGGUGAGUAACGCGUGAACAAUCUGCCCUGUACAAAGGAAUAGCCUCGGGAAACCGGGAUUAAAACCAUAUGACACUUUAAUACCGCAUGGUAAGAAAGUCAAAUAUUUAUAGGUAUGGGAUGAGUUCGCGUCUGAUUAGCUAGUUGGUAAGGUAAAGGCUUACCAAGGCGACGAUCAGUAGCCGGCCUGAGAGGGUGAACGGCCACACUGGAAUUGAGACACGGUCCAGACUCCUACGGGAGGCAGCAGUGGGGAAUAUUGCACAAUGGAGGAAACUCUGAUGCAGCGACGCCGCGUGAGUGAAGAAGGUCUUCGGAUCCGUAAAACUUCUGUCCUUUGGUGAAGAUAAUGACGGUAGCCAAGGAGGAAGCCCCGGCUAACUACGUGCCAGCAGCCGCGGUAAUACGUAGGGGGCGAGCGUUGUCCGGAUUUACUGGGCGUAAAGGGUGAGUAGGCGGUUAUAUAUGUCAGGUGUAAAAGGCUAUGGCUUAACCAUGGUUAGCACUUGAAACUGUAUGACUUGAGUGCAGGAGAGGUAAGUGGAAUUCCUAGUGUAGCGGUGAAAUGCGUAGAUAUUAGGAGGAACACCAGUGGCGAAGGCGACUUACUGGACUGUAACUGACGCUGAGUCACGAAAGCGUGGGUAGCAAACAGGAUUAGAUACCCUGGUAGUCCACGCUGUAAACGAUGAGUGCUAGGUGUUGGCCAGCGAUGGUCAGUGCCGGAGUUAACACAAUAAGCACCCCGCCUGGGGAGUACGUACGCAAGUAUGAAACUCAAAGGAAUUGACGGGGACCCGCACAAGCAGCGGAGCAUGGUGGUUUAAUUCGAAGCAACGCGAAGAACCUUACCAAGGCUUGAACAUCCCCUUGACAGGUACAGAAGAUGUACCAUCAAUUUUCGAAUGCAAGGGAGACAGGUGGUGCAUGGUUGUCGUCAGCUCGUGUCGUGAGAUGUUGGGUUAAGUCCCGCAACGAGCGCAACCCUUAUCCUUAGUUGCCAGCAAGUUAAGUUGGGCACUCUAGGGAGACUGCCGGUGAUAAACCGGAGGAAGGUGGGGAUGACGUCAAAUCAUCAUGCCCCUUAUGUCUUGGGCUACACACGUGCUACAAUGGUCGGUACAACGGGAAGCGAAGGAGCGAUCCGGAGCAAAUCCCAAUAAACCGAUCCCAGUUCGGAUUGCAGGCUGCAACUCGCCUGCAUGAAGUCGGAGUUGCUAGUAAUCGCGAAUCAG
Molecule: ribosomal RNA, 1394 nt
Filed under: uncultured Sedimentibacter sp.
Lineage: Bacteria; Bacillati; Bacillota; Tissierellia
Description: bacterial SSU rRNA
Rfam family: Bacterial small subunit ribosomal RNA
Source: RNAcentral